ACACAAUGUGAGGGAACCUUCUCAAUAAAUCCUUGUAUCUCUCUCAUGCAUCAUCAAGUGUUUCUAAAUCCAUAUGCACAAAAAAAGAGAUAUCAUUCCUCAAUUU
Gossypium arboreum is the source of this 106-nucleotide small nucleolar RNA. It matches the Rfam family "Plant small nucleolar RNA R71". Rfam says of the family: R71 is a member of the C/D box family of snoRNAs containing the C (UGAUGA) and D (CUGA) box motifs. NCBI's taxonomy places the organism in Eukaryota, Viridiplantae, Streptophyta, Magnoliopsida, Malvales, Malvaceae. The record is from Rfam.